GGGCCUAUCGUCUAGUGGUAAGACGCGACAUUCGCAUUGUCGAGACGGCAGUUCGAUUCUGCCUAGGUCCA
RNAcentral lists this transfer RNA (71 nucleotides) under Candidatus Harrisonbacteria bacterium CG10_big_fil_rev_8_21_14_0_10_40_38. RNAcentral describes it as "tRNA-Ala". It matches the Rfam family "tRNA". Rfam says of the family: Transfer RNA (tRNA) molecules are approximately 80 nucleotides in length. Lineage: Bacteria; Candidatus Harrisoniibacteriota. The record is from RNAcentral.